AAGUCGUAACAAGGUUUCCGUAGGUGAACCUGCGGAAGGAUCAUGAACACGUAUCCAACGUUAAAAACCCCGUGCAUUUUAACCCUCGGCUCCCCAUAUUAAACCCGUAUGUGAAAGUCGGGCUUGCAAACUACAGGCCCACAAAACGAACAACUGUUAACAAUGGAUAUCUUGGUCUC
RNAcentral lists this unclassified non-coding RNA (179 nucleotides) under fungal sp. RNAcentral's name for it is "partial internal transcribed spacer region". The stretch from base 1 to 46 matches the Rfam family "Eukaryotic small subunit ribosomal RNA", at positions 1786 to 1831 of the family's 1831-position model. The record is from RNAcentral. Lineage: Eukaryota; Fungi.